AAAACUUAAAACAAUGAAAGCCCUUCCUCUCUUCCAUCCUUGCAGUUCCGAGACCGCGCCAGUGUGAUUUCAGCUUUUCAAUACUUC
This 87-nucleotide small RNA is filed under the name Paranoxybacillus vitaminiphilus. RNAcentral's name for it is "Anoxybacillus vitaminiphilus BsrC". It matches the Rfam family "BsrC". From Rfam's summary of the family: The 301 nucleotide sequence from Kouji Nakamura has been trimmed to a highly conserved ~85 nucleotide long core to form this family. Lineage: Bacteria; Bacillati; Bacillota; Bacilli; Caryophanales; Anoxybacillaceae. The record is from RNAcentral.